Molecule: ribosomal RNA, 273 nt
Filed under: uncultured prokaryote
Description: partial 16S ribosomal RNA
Rfam family: Bacterial small subunit ribosomal RNA
Source: RNAcentral
UACGGAGGGUGCAAGCGUUAUCCGGAUUCACUGGGUUUAAAGGGUGCGUAGGUGGGCAGUUAAGUCAGUGGUGAAAUCUCCGGGCUUAACCCGGAAACUGCCAUUGAUACUAUCUGUCUUGAAUAUCCUGGAGGUGAGCGGAAUAUGUCAUGUAGCGGUGAAAUGCUUAGAUAUGACAUAGAACACCGAUUGCGAAGGCAGCUCGCUACGGGAUUAUUGACACUGAGGCACGAAAGCGUGGGGAUCAAACAGGAUUAGAAACCCUGGUAGUCC